This 467-nucleotide ribosomal RNA is filed under the name uncultured bacterium. Its description in RNAcentral is "partial 16S ribosomal RNA". It matches the Rfam family "Bacterial small subunit ribosomal RNA", at positions 28 to 507 of the family's 1533-position model. The record is from RNAcentral.
GACGAACGCUGGCGGCGUGCUUAACACAUGAAAGUCGAACGGAAAGGCUCCAGCUUGCUGGAGUACUCGAGUGGCGAACGGGUGAGUAACACGUGGGUAAUCUGCCCUGCACUCUGGGAUAAGCCUGGGAAACUGGGUCUAAUACUGGAUAUGACCUUUCUCCUUAUGGGGUUUGGUGGAAAGUUUUUCGGUGUAGGAUGAGCCCGCGGCCUAUCAGCUUGUUGGUGGGGUGAUGGCCUACCAAGGCGACGACGGGUAGCCGGCCUGAGAGGGUGAUCGGCCACAUUGGGACUGAGAUACGGCCCAGACUCCUACGGGAGGCAGCAGUGGGGAAUAUUGCACAAUGGGCGGAAGCCUGAUGCAGCGACGCCGCGUGAGGGAUGACGGCCUUCGGGUUGUAAACCUCUUUCAGCAGGGACGAAGCGUAAGUGACGGUACCUGCAGAAGAAGCACCGGCUAACUACGUG